Molecule: ribosomal RNA, 452 nt
Filed under: uncultured bacterium
Lineage: Bacteria
Description: partial 16S ribosomal RNA
Rfam family: Bacterial small subunit ribosomal RNA
Source: RNAcentral
GAUGAACGCUGGCGGCGUGCCUAACACAUGCAAGUCGAGCGAUUUACUUCGGUAAAGAGCGGCGGACGGGUGAGUAACGCGUGGGUAACCUGCCCUGUACACACGGAUAACAUACCGAAAGGUAUGCUAAUACGAGAUAAUAUGCUUUUAUCGCAUGGUAGAAGUAUCAAAGCCUUUGCGGUACAGGAUGGACCCGCGUCUGAUUAGCUAGUUGGUGAGGUAACGGCUCACCAAGGCGACGAUCAGUAGCCGAACUGAGAGGGUGAUCGGCCACAUUGGAACUGAGACACGGUCCAAACUCCUACGGGAGGCAGCAGUGGGGAAUAUUGCACAAUGGGCGAAAGCCUGAUGCAGCAACGCCGCGUGAGCGAUGAAGGCCUUCGGGUCGUAAAGCUCUGUCCUCAAGGAAGAUAAUGACGGUACUUGAGGAGGAAGCCCCGGCUAACUACGUG